This is a long non-coding RNA of Oryzias melastigma (Indian medaka), 517 nucleotides long. RefSeq lists it as uncharacterized. NCBI's taxonomy places the organism in Eukaryota, Metazoa, Chordata, Actinopteri, Beloniformes, Adrianichthyidae. The transcript is spliced from 2 exons. The record is from RefSeq and is a predicted model, not a curated record.
AACCAGCUUUUCUGGCGGAAGCUCACCUGUUCAACUCAAAUUUGGAAGCUUUACUCUUCAUUCUUUUCAAGAUCCACACUGCCAGAGAAAGUCCUGAGACCGCAGCAGCGCCCCCUACUGCCACACCGCUGGUAAUGGCAGACAUCUGGUGGGGGGCUUCCCAGUCCAGUUGCCAUGGCGACCGCAGGUCAGCAGCUCGUGUCCGUCUAGCGUGAAACCUUCAUCGCAGGUGAUGGAGCACUGCGAGGUGAAGACGGGAGGGCCGUCCGAGCAGUUGAUGUGGCCGUUUUCAGGAGCCUCGGGUGGAGGGCAUCGAACGGCUGAGGGAGAGAGACACGUCAGACUUCACUGACCACAACACGGGUUUAACCCUCUAACACUGGAGCUCUCAUGUGAUUGCUUAGUGAGCAUUCACACAACAGUGAUUCUCCUGCUCCUUUCCAUGUAUGUUUUUCAGCUUGUAAUAACUUAUAUUUUCAGUGAUUUCAGUAAUAUUGGUUUCAAAACGUUCAGCUCA